This 18-nucleotide ribosomal RNA is filed under the name Trichostrongylus colubriformis. RNAcentral's name for it is "partial 28S ribosomal RNA". The record is from RNAcentral. Lineage: Eukaryota; Metazoa; Nematoda; Chromadorea; Rhabditida; Trichostrongylidae.
UGCAACCUGAACUCAGGC